UACGAAGGGGGCUAGCGUUGCUCGGAAUCACUGGGCGUAAAGCGCACGUAGGCGGAUUGCUAAGUCAGGGGUGAAAUCCUGGAGCUCAACUCCAGAACUGCCUUUGAUACUGGCGAUCUUGAGUCCGGGAGAGGUGAGUGGAACUGCGAGUGUAGAGGUGAAAUUCGUAGAUAUUCGCAAGAACACCAGUGGCGAAGGCGGCUCACUGGACCGGAACUGACGCUGAGGCGCGAAAGCGUGGGGAGCAAACGGG
This 253-nucleotide ribosomal RNA is filed under the name uncultured bacterium. Its description in RNAcentral is "partial 16S ribosomal RNA". It matches the Rfam family "Bacterial small subunit ribosomal RNA", at positions 524 to 776 of the family's 1533-position model. The record is from RNAcentral.